Molecule: ribosomal RNA, 423 nt
Filed under: uncultured bacterium
Lineage: Bacteria
Description: bacterial SSU rRNA
Rfam family: Bacterial small subunit ribosomal RNA
Source: RNAcentral
GGAAUUUUCCACAAUGGACGAAAGUCUGAUGGAGCAACGCCGCGUGAACGAUGAAGGUCUUCGGAUUGUAAAGUUCUGUUGUCAGAGACGAACAAGUACCGUUCGAACAGGGCGGUACCUUGACGGUACCUGACGAGAACGCCACGGCUACCUACGUGCCAGCAGCCGCGGUAAUACGUAGGUGGCAAGCGUUGUCCGGAAUUAUUGGGCGUAAAGCGCGCGCAGGCGGCUAUGUAAGUCUGGUGUUAAAGCCCGGGGCUCAACCCCGGUUCGCAUCGGAAACUGUGUAGCUUGAGUGCAGAAGAGGAAAGCGGUAUUCCACGUGUAGCGGUGAAAUGCGUAGAGAUGUGGAGGAACACCAGUGGCGAAGGCGGCUUUCUGGUCUGUAACUGACGCUGAGGCGCGAAAGCGUGGGGAGCAAAC